Molecule: ribosomal RNA, 500 nt
Filed under: uncultured bacterium
Lineage: Bacteria
Description: partial 16S ribosomal RNA
Rfam family: Bacterial small subunit ribosomal RNA
Source: RNAcentral
AUUGAACGCUGGCGGAAUGCUUUACACAUGCAAGUCGAACGGCAGCACGGGGGCAACCCUGGUGGCGAGUGGCGAACGGGUGAGUAAUACAUCGGAACGUGCCCAGUCGUGGGGGAUAACGUAGCGAAAGUUACGCUAAUACCGCAUACGAUCUACGGAUGAAAGCGGGGGACCGUAAGGCCUCGCGCGAUUGGAGCAGCCGAUGUCAGAUUAGGUAGUUGGUGAGGUAAAGGCUCACCAAGCCGACGAUCUGUAGCGGGUCUGAGAGGACGAACAGCCACACUGGGACUGAGACACGGCCCAGACUCCUACGGGAGGCAGCAGUGGGGAAUUUUGGACAAUGGGCGCAAGCCUGAUCCAGCCAUUCCGCGUGCAGGACGAAGGCCUUCGGGUUGUAAACUGCCUUUGUACGGAACGAAAAGGCUCUGGUUAAUACCUGGGGCUCAUGACGGUACCGUAAGAAUAAGCACCGGCUAACUACGUGCCAGCCGCCGCAGUAA